RNAcentral lists this ribosomal RNA (497 nucleotides) under uncultured bacterium. RNAcentral's name for it is "partial 16S ribosomal RNA". It matches the Rfam family "Bacterial small subunit ribosomal RNA", at positions 28 to 507 of the family's 1533-position model. The record is from RNAcentral.
GAUGAACGCUGGCGGCGUGCCUAAUACAUGCAAGUCGAGCGGACAGACGAGGCUCUUGCGCGUCUGACGUGAGGGGCGGGCGGGUGAGUAACACGUGGAUACCCUACCUAUAAGACUGAGAUCACUACGGGAAACCGGAUAUAACACCGGAUAAGAUAUUGAACCGCAGGGGUCAUUGGAGAAAGACGGCUGUGCUGUCUCUAAUAGAUGUAUCCGAGCCGCAUUAGCUAGUUGGUAAGGUAACGGCUUACCAAGGCAACGAUGCGUGACCGACCGGAGAGGCUGAUCGGCCACACUGGAACUGAGACACGGUCCAGACUCCUACGGGAGGCAGCAGUAGGGAAUCUUCCGCAAUGGGCGAAAGCCUGACGGAGCAACGCCGCGUGUGUGAUGAAGGUCUUCGGAUCGUAAAGCUCUGUUACUAGGGAAGAACAAAUGUGGAAGUAACUAUGGACGUCUUGACGGUACCUAAUCAGAAAGCCACGGCUAACUACGUG